RNAcentral lists this ribosomal RNA (448 nucleotides) under uncultured bacterium. Its description in RNAcentral is "partial 16S ribosomal RNA". It matches the Rfam family "Bacterial small subunit ribosomal RNA", at positions 29 to 523 of the family's 1533-position model. The record is from RNAcentral.
AACGAACGCUGGUGGCAUGCCUAACACAUGCAAGUCGAACGAGAUCUUCGGGUCUAGUGGCGCACGGGUGCGUAACGCGUGGGAAUCUGCCCUUUGGUUCGGAAUAACAGUUGGAAACGACUGCUAAUACCGGAUGAUGACGAAAGUCCAAAGAUUUAUCGCCAGAGGAUGAGCCCGCGUAGGAUUAGCUAGUUGGUGUGGUAAGGCGCACCAAGGCGACGAUCCUUAGCUGGUCUGAGAGGAUGAUCAGCCACACUGGGACUGAGACACGGCCCAGACUCCUACGGGAGGCAGCAGUGGGGAAUAUUGGACAAUGGGCGAAAGCCUGAUCCAGCAAUGCCGCGUGAGUGAUGAAGGCCUUAGGGUUGUAAAGCUCUUUUACCCGGGAUGAUAAUGACAGUACCGGGAGAAUAAGCUCCGGCUAACUCCGUGCCAGCCGCCGCAGUAA